CUGGGCUCCUGAUGGGGAUCCCCUACCAGGGCCGGGGGCUGCAGCCAGGCGAGGCCAGCACAGGCCUGCUGGCCACUGCUGUUGGAUGAGAUCUUGGUAAAUACCUCUUAUGCCAGCAGUUUGAAGAUGAGUGGAGCCACCUUGCACAAGACAUUCUCUGGCCUGUUGACUCAAGGAGCAAGAUGAAUGCCCUGGCUCCUGCUCUACAGCUGGGGAAAUGCGGCAGCUGUUGAGGCACUGCUGUAGAUGACUGAUCCUGCUUCAUCUCAAGCGACUAUUAAAGAAGCCAGGAAGAAGGCACAAGAAAUCUAUUCUUCUUCAACACUAGACACCUGCUACCUGCCUUACUUCUGGCUUGGAGACCUGAUCUGCUUGCCUCUUGCUGGAGAAACAAGUAAGUCAAAACACAACAGCAAGCUCUCUCUCUUUUUUUUUUUUUCUUUCUGUCAUGACCUUGCCUCUCCAAGAUAACUCUCUCCUGGCACUCUGUAGUACUCACCAAUUUCCACUA
This is a non-coding RNA of Struthio camelus australis, 511 nucleotides long. NCBI's taxonomy places the organism in Eukaryota, Metazoa, Chordata, Aves, Struthioniformes, Struthionidae. The record is from RefSeq and is a predicted model, not a curated record.